GGUGACAAAUUGAGUGACAAAGAAGUUGUAGACAACAUUGUCUCUCUAGUAGCUGCUGGAUAUAUAUCAACUUCCCUUGCAUCUACUUGGGCUAUAUACCUUCUUGCUAAGUAUCCAAUUGUGCUAAAAAAGCUUAGGGUAAUAUAUAUAAUUUUUCGUUGAUAAUUUGUAUUUGUCUAAGUGUCGGUCCAAUAAUUUUUAAUAGUAAAUAAGGUCCAAAACAAAUUUUAAUAUAUGAGACAUUUCUUAUCUGCAUAUGAAACCUUGUUUCGUUUAUAAAAUCCAAUAAAAAUAAUUUUUUUAUUGAUAGACCUAAAACGAGAACUUUAGCAGUCUUACCUUUAAAUCGGUCUUACACAGGUUGUUAAGUUUAACUUUAUGUUAACAAUUGCAGGAAGAGAACAUGGCUUUCAGAAAGGGAAGUCCUGAGGAUUUUAUUACACCUAAAGAUGUUUCGAAUUUAAAAUACACAAACAAGGUCUUUCAUUGGUUAAGGUUUUUUGUAUAAAUAUAAACACAAAUAUACAUAUUUAUAUAGGUUAUUAAAUUAAUUUGAACACAGGUCGUUGAAGAAGUGAUAAGAAUGGCCAAUAUUGCAGCUUGUGCUUUCAGAAAAGUUGACACUGAAGUUGAUUAUAAAGGUACAUGGUUGCAGUUUUUGAGAAAUUUACUACUCCCUUGUCCCAUUCUUUUUUUUGUCAAAUGAUUUUUUUAAGGUUAAUAAGUCUUUAUCCUCUGUAAUAUAGGUCAUUUAUGAUUUUUUUUCCUGUAAAAUUUUUAGAAAAUUUAUUGAAAAAAAAAAUAAUAUUGGUUUUUGUUUGGUCUAUUAACCCUUUUUUUUAUACCAAAUAUCUAUCUAUAUUGUACUCCCUCCGUCCCAUAAUAACUGAACAAUUUGCAAAAAAAAGUGUUUCAAAAUAACUAAACCAUUUCACUUUUUAAUUAAAUAUUAAUUACUUUUUUCCUUUUAUAACUCUAAUUAAUAUUACUUUUAUCAUUUCCAAUUCAAUAUAUUCCACUUUACAUUUAUGAUAGUGGAUAAUGCACUAAUAUGUAGAAGAGCCAAUUCGUAUUGGAAAAUGUGUGGUGAACAUCCAAGCACCCCAAUAACACAAUGUGAGAAAAAGAAAGAGACGAAUAUGAUAGAUGUGAUAGACCUCCAUAAUCUCCCUCCUUCGUGAACUCAAAAUAGACACUUUAGCGAAAACGUAAAAUAACACAACAAAAUUUUAGGGUGGAAAACCUUUUCAAUGUGAGUAAGGAAAAACUACGGGACCCUUGGGCCUCUUAAACUUCCACUCUAAUGAUAACGAGAAUACAACUACUCCACCCUUAGGUGGAUCUCACUACAAUUUAUCUCUCAAUUUGUAAGGAACACUCUCACAAAUUGGCUCACUAUUUUCUCACAAAAAAACUCUAGCUAUGCGGAUCACUUUUAUCUUUUGAGCAAGCCAAAGUUGCCUCACAUGCAUGAAGACACUUGUUAUUUUCCUUUCAUGCAAAACACCAAGUGUCAGUUGCAACACAUGCACCACACCAUGUAUCUCUUGCAAUACAUGCAUCAUAACACGUGUUACUCAUACACUACACUAUUUGUACACCAUACACCUUGCUACUUGUCAUCACAUGCAACCUUUCAUUUUGUCAAAUGUAUGUUGGCGGCGUGGCAAUAGUUGGACCCCACAAUUAGUGAUUUUAUUGGAAGAUAGAGAUAAAGAGAAUACAAUACUCCUAUUUUAAAUAAGAAUAUAAAAUUUAUAGAUGUCCAAAUAUAAGAGUUGAUUAAUAGCGAGUAUAUCAUUAAUGUCAUUUUUACUGGUCUGUAGCAGUGUGUGUCUAUAUAUAUAUAUAUAUAUAUAUAUAUAUAUAUAUAUAUAUAUAUAUAUAUAUAUAUGUAUGUAUGUGGAUUUUAUAACUGAUAUUUGAUGAUAAAACUAAUGUCUGACGAUCACAAAACCACAAUAUUUUUUGUAGGUUAUAAGAUACCAAAGGGAUGGAAUGUAAUUCUCCUCCUUCGUUAUCUUCAUACAGAUUCAAAGAAUUUUAAGGAUCCCAUGAAUUUCAAUCCUGAUAGAUGGAAUGUACGUAUCAUGAUUCUUCCUUAACCUGGAUUUCAAUAAAAAAAUUUGUCUUAAAUCUCCGACCCAUUUUCAAUUAAGAAAAAUACUUUCAUAAUUCGGAGUUUGACAAAAAAAUAUACAAAAUCUAGCAAAUGAUUAAUGUUUAGUUAGGAUGUGAUCUCAAUUUUUUUUACGAUUCGUUUUUAUCUAAAGUUUAUUAAUCAUUAGAGUGGACAUAUUUGAUUACGUUUCAAUGUUUUAUAUGCUAGUUAAUAUUUUUUCCUAUAUUUUUUUUUGUCAAGACAAAUAUACUAAGUGACAAUUUUAUAUAUAAAUUCUUAGGAACCAGCAAAGCCUGGAACAUACCAACCUUUUGGCGGUGGACAAAGACUAUGCCCUGGAAACACACUUGCAAGAAUUCAACUUGCACUUCUACUUCAUCAUUUGUCCAUAGGAUACAAGUAAUGUUUGAUCAUAGUAUUUUGAUAUAAUUAACAUUUAUGGUUUUUAACUUUAACAAACUUGGAUAACUAGACCAUCAUAUAUUUCUGAAAUAUCACUGUAUUCUUUGCUCAAUGUAGGAUACUUUAAGGUAGGGUAUAAUUUUUUUAUUUAUUUAUAUGAACUUAAUGCAGGUGGGAGCUUAUUAAUCCAAAUGCAGAUAUAAUUUAUCUUUCACAUCCUGCUCCUGUUGAUGGGGUUGAGGUCAAGUUCAGCAAAUUGUGAAGAAAAAACCAUGAAAAAAUGGACUGUGCUCAUUACCUAUAAGUUACUGUUUUCUCUUACUACAUGUAGAAUUGUAAACAAUGAAAAUGCUAAUUUUAAACCUUUAUGUUUGUUAUAUUUUGCUUAUGACUAGUAUCUACUAGAUGGAGACUUACAUGCGUGUCUCUUAGGAUUCCUAUUACACUUAAUGUAUUAUCACUUGUGUAAUUUGUGUUUCAAUUUAAAAUACCAACAUAAAAUCAAAUAUUAUUUGUUUACAAAUGCUAUUAUUUUUUCAUUCUUAAUUUGUCUUAAUAAGUCAAACAAAUGAGAAUAUUUAUUUUGUUAUUGCAAUGUGGUGUCUCAUAGGUCUACUAAUGUUGUAUUUAAGAGACUUAGUUUUUUCAUUCAAAAAUAAUUAGCGGCGCAAGGUGUAAUUUGUUUGUCAUCCACUUAUGUAUAAAUUAUAGCAUAGUUUUAAAAACUGGCUCGGACCGGCCGGUCGAACCGGUUGGACCAAGAACCGGAGGGGUAAGUGGUUCGAGCUAGGUAACGGAUCGGCCAUGCUUUUAAACCGGCGUGAACCGGAAUGACCCGGCCAAAACCGGUAAAAACUGGUGACUCGCCGGUUUUUUGAACCGGACCGGGUCAGUGAUUGAAGGGAAAAAGAAGCGGAAGAACAGAAGAAAACGAUGGACGGAGAAACGUUUUGAUACUUGAAAACAUCUUCAUCUUAAGUGGUUUAUGCUUUCACUAUUUUAAUUGCAUCUUUGACAUGAUAAUAAUACAUAUUGAUGUAGAAGAAGAAGAAGAAGAAGAAGAAAAAAAAGUAGAAUAUGAAAGGGAAAGGUCGCAUGCGGAAAGGAUAGAAAGAGAUGGGGAAAGUGUUUGAUGAUUUUUUUUUUAAUGUAAACUAGUUGGAGAGAUUAUUGUUUACAAUGGUGUGUAUUUCUUGGAAUUGUAACCAAACAUAUUGACUAUUCUUUAAAAAUUCAAGAAGUAAUAGAAGUCUCUGCCGUGUACAAUUAGUAAUUACUGCUAUUUUAAUUUUUUUAACUCUAUACUAUAUUUUUUUUUUUGGGAUAGGAUUAAUUCUAAAAUAAUGUGAAUCUCAUUUGGAAAAAAUAAAAUAAAAUGUGCAUCUAAUCAAAACAUACUACUAUAUGCAAGGUGGAUUUUUGCUUAAAAAAAUAUAUGCAAGGUGACUUUUAUGUGUUUUGUUUUAUUAAAAUGUAAAUAAAUAUUUGUGACAUUUUUAGGUUUUUAAAAAUAAUAGACAUUGAUUCAUCAGGUUUAGUCUAGUUUUUUUUUUUUUUUGACAAAAGGUUUAGUCUAGUUUAAUAAUAAACAAUAUUAUUUAUAAACGCCGAGUUGAAUACCGAGUCAAUCGGUUUAAUCCAGUUCAGUGAUGCGGUUUGACCAAUGACUCAGUGACCCAGUAACCUCACCGAAUCGAUCACCGAGCUGAGUUUUAAAACUAUGAAUUAUAGGCUUAAUUACAUGUUUGAUCUCUUAUGUUUAUUUUAGUUUUCAAGUUGAUCUCUUACGUUUUAAAAAUUUCAAAUGAAGUGAUCAAUUGAGAAAUUCUGCAAGAGUGCUUUCAUGUCUAUCUCUCUCUCAAACAACUUUCAUAUUUUAUGUAAUUUUUGUUCUUCUUCUCUGAUAACAGGUAUAUCAAGUGUGUGAAUGAAUGUGUAAAGUUAAUUACACCAACAUCUGUGAGGUGAAAAAGUGAGUUGCACCAACAUCUGAUAUCAAUAGCGACACACACGAACAUAAACUUCCCUGCAAAUCUUAUAAUUCUUGAUGGGAAGAAUUAUGAUGCAUAAUGGGAUAGAAUGCAUUGGUAAUCGUGCCACAUAAGAAGAAAGAAUUGCGCAUUGGUAAUCAAUUAUGGAUUGACAAUAAUCAAUUAUUAUAAGUUAAUAUUAUAUUAUAAAUUAUGAUCUAUUGUGUUAAACACUAAUUAGUUGAUGAAUAUGUGUGAUUGAGCUAUUCUUUCUAAAUGGACCGUGAUGGAUUGAACCAUUUAGCUAAGUCCAAUGAGAGGUCUCUACCUUCAGCCGUUUAGCUAUUUAAACGUCAUUCCAUCAGACGGUUAAGUAUAAUGAACAACAUUGUGAAAACCUAAAGCUAGACGGAAUGAGGGUAGUUAGUUAUCUUCUCUCAUCAUUCAUCAACCUAAUUCAAAAGGUAUACAAAUUCUUUUAUCAUCCCACCCCCUAAGCCCUUCCUUCCAAACUCCCAAACAAUGCUUAAAUUGCAGUUAAACCAACAUUAAUUUUAUUCUUUUUUUAAAAAAAAAAAAAAGAUUAAAAAUACAAUAAUGAUAUUUAUUUGUUCCAUUGUUGGUUCCAACAUUUGUUUGCUAGUAACCGAAAGUUGGAGGAAUAAACGAUGAAGAAUCUUACCUACAAAACACAAGUACUAUUAUAAAUUUAAAGAUACCCAUAACAUAUAAAUUUAGCUAACAUAGUGAGAAUUAGAUCUAGUGAUAAAGUUUUCAAUGGAUGCAAUUUAUAUAGGGUGGUUGGGAUUAAUGAUUGGGUUUGUGUUGUGGUGCUGGAAUGAGUGUUGGUAUGUUAUUCCUCUUAAAUUCAAAUGCUUAAAAUCUGCUACAAAGUUGCCACCUGGUCAUAUGGGUUUACCUUUCAUUGGAGAAACAAUUAGAUUUCUUUGGUACUUCAAAAUUGUUAGACGCCCAGAUGACUUCAUUAAUGUUAAACGACGCAAGUAAGUUUUUAUUUUUAUUUUUUUUAAGUAGUUUAGUGAUUAGAAUUCACCUUUUUUUAAAGUGAAUAAGUGAGGUGUCUAGUGGUUCGAACUCCAACCCCUGCAUAUAAUACUGCAUGUCCCUGCCAACUGGAUCAUGUUCACAAGAGACAAUAAAUUUUAUGUUUUGAGAAAUGUUAUUUAGACAUUAGAAAUAUAUACGGUAAACAAUCAUUUUGGCCUUUACAUGUGUAUAUUGUUCAUAGCAGUCUCGGACUCAACCAAAAAUUAUGCCUACCCUCUUUAUCUCUUGUAUUUGGUUUGAAUGUGUUGAAUAUUUAUUUUCUUGGACGUUUAGUUUGGUUACUGUUGUGAUUUGUUCUACUUUGUUUUGUUUGGAUUCACAACACUAGACAUUUUCAAUUUUAAUACAUUUGUUAUUAUAUAUUCAUUGUUGCCAUGACACAUGUUUAUUGGUUAACAAUGACACAGAUAUGGCGACGGGGUAGGAAUGUUUAGGACACACCUCUUUGGAGCACCAUCUAUCAUAGUAUACACUCCAACUGUUAAUAAAUUUGUGCUAUUUUCAGACGAUAAGUUCAAACAAGAAUGUCCCACAGUUGAACUUAUGGGUCGAACUUCAUUGGGGUCUGUCCAUGGGAAAGCCCAUACACGGGCCCGAAACUUUGUCACCAAUGCCAUCAAUCGGCCUGAUGCCCUAAGCCGCAUUGCUACUCUUGUUCAACCUCGCAUAGUCAAUGCUCUUCAAUCUUGGGCACAAAUAGGUAAAAUUAAAGCCAAGUUUGAAACCCAAAAGGUAUUUAACUACUUUGAUUACAUCGUAACUAAUUAUGUACUUAGCUUGUUAUACAUGUAACAAUCGUAAAACUAACUAAGAUGAUUCCUUGUUGUCUUUCCUAGACCCAAACUCUCAUAUUUUAAUAUCAUACCUUUGUUCUAAUUUCAUCAAAUCAUCAAUUCAUAUAGUUUAAACUUUAUCUCAACCAUGGAAUGAUAUAUUAUGUGGAAUUUCUCAUUAAGCACUUAGGAAUCUAAAUUAUUAAAUAUUAUAUGCAGCUGUCAUUUGAGAACAUUGGGAAAUUAUUUAUGGGCAAGGAGCCAGGCCCUUUUCUAAAUUCCUUGGAUAAGCUCUAUCAAGGCUUGCUUCCAGGUGUGAGAGCCUAUCCACUUAACAUUCCUGGUUUUGCAUACCACCAUGCUCUUCAGGUUAGAAGACAAAGUUUGCUUCAAUUAAUUUCUUGAUUCUAUAAUAUUCACCGCUAAAAAUAUAGUAAUUUGUUCCCGUGAGCUUAACUCAAUUGAUCGGAACAUUGCAUAAUAUAUGCAGGGACUGGGGUUCAAAUUCCAGACACCCCACUUCUCUGCAUUUAGAAUGUGAGUUCCAGCCACUAGAAUACUUAAAGAAAAAAAAAAUAUAAUAACUUAAACUAGCUAGUGGUGGAAAAAUGAAAUCACUCUCCAAUUAUUUCCUCACAUAAUUUAGUGACGAAAUUAGAGAUUUCACGUUUUCUUUCUUUAAAUUUCUAACUAAUUUAUAUUUUUCUUAGUAGUGUGAUUGAACUUCCAUAAUUAAUUAACCGGUAUACUCAAAAUUUCAGUGUAGAAGAAAGUUGGAGGACAUCUUUUGGAUGGAAUUAGAGAAAAGAAAAGCUGAAAAUAAGGUUGAAACAAGUGAUCUAAUGGAUGGGUUGAUGCAAAUUGAAGAUGGUGAAGGUGAUAAAUUGAGUGACAAAGAAGUUGUAGACAACAUUGUCUCUCUAGUGGCUGCUGGAUAUAUCCCUACUUCCCUUGCAUCAACUUGGGCUAUUUACCUUCUUGCUAAGUAUCCAAUUGUGCUAACAAAAUUGAGGGUAUACUAAAACUUUGUCUUACAUUCCAUUCAUGAUUUUAAAUUGCACUUCUACAACAACAUUGCGAGAAUAAUCGUUUCUGUGAACUCAACUCAAUUGAUAAGGACAAUGCAUAAUAUACGCAGAGUUCAAUAUUUGAAUCUCAGACACUCUACUUAUUCAUAUUUAAAUUGUACGAGCUCCAUACACUAGAUUACUUGAACAACACUACGAGUAUAAUUGUUGCAUCGACCUUAUAAUAAAAAAUAAUAAUUUGAAUUAACGGGAAAUUAGAAAUAAAAACAAUAAAAUUGUAUCCAAUCUUGAAGCUCUGCAUCGUCUCAUCUACAACAACUUGUUUGAUUCAACUAUCCCCUUUUUGUUUGCAAUUGUAGGAAGAGAACAUCGCUUUCACAAAGGGAAGUUUAGGGGAUUUAAUUACAGCUAAAGAUGUUUUGAAUUUAAAAUACACAAAUAAGGUCGUUGAUGAGGUGAUAAGAAUGGCCAAUGUUGCGGCUUUUGUUUUCAGGAAAGCUGCAAAUGAAGUCGAUUAUAAAGGUACAUUGAAUUGGUUGCCGAUCUUAAGAAAGUUACAGAAUUUUGUCUCUAUUUUUCUUUUGCAAGAAAAUAAAUAAUUAUCUCUUUUUCUGUCAUUAUAAACCUUCAUUUCAAUCUUCUAAUAUUAUCCUUUUUUUUUGCUGUCAAGUAAUCUAGUAAGAUAGAAAUUCAGUUUUUAAAGCUGAAUAAGUUAAGUGUCUAAGAUUUGAACUCCAAAUAUUUAUUAUGCUCUCUCUCUCUCUCUCUCUCUCUCUCUCUCUCUCCAACGCUGUAGCCACCCCGUCCACCACCCUACGUCCAUCGCGAUAGAGAAGCAUGUAGGAUGAUGGUCGGAGGUUGAAGGGAUGGACGGAGGUCGGAGGGUGUGAUGAGAGCGGAUGGUGAAAGAUGGCGGUGGCAAGGAUGAUGAACAGGUCGGAUGGUGUGGUGGACAGAGGGUAAGGACGGCAAAAGUUAUGGUGCAUAAGCCAUUUCCUUAUGCACCGUGCAUAAACACAUCACAACCAUCAGAUUUCUUUCAUUUUGAACAAAAAUGGUUUUGGCUCACUUUGGGGGUGUAGGAAGCAAUUAUGUUGGGAUUUAUGCACGGUGCAUAAAGAUUUCCUUAUGCACCAUAACCAAUCCCGGUAAGGACAUACGGUGAGAGAGGUGGAAGAAAUGGGCAACAUGUUUUACCAAAAUACCCUUAAUUUAAAAGACAAAAAGAUCAUGUGACUUAUUUGUGUGUUCCAAUAUCAUUUAUAUUUAAUUAAUGGUUUGUGUAUCAAGUAAUUGCUAAAACUAUAAAGAUAAUCCGUAAAAAAAAAAAAAAACAAACUUUAAUGAUAAUUCUAAAUUUAAUUUUCGUUAAAAACAAAAAUAAUUCGUUAAAAAAACAAAAAUAAUUAGCUGCAAUAGUAAUAACCACAAAAAGAAAAAAAUAAUAUUUUUCCCUUAAAAAAACAUAUUUUUCAAAAGCUACUAUUAAAAAAAAAAAACUACUGAAAAUAGAAAUGAUAAAUCCCUAUAAUUUUUUUUCCCUCUUAUCUAUAUUUUGGUGGUCAAAAUAUUAAAACUCAAAUUUCGUCUUAUUUUAUGAAAUACGAAGGCAAAAUGAAAAACCUUCUAUAAUUCCUCACAUCCCUAUAUUUUGAAUUCUGGAAUAUUCAAACAUACUUAUAUCCAGGGGCGGUUUUAAGGCCCGGCGAGCCUAAGGCAGUUGUCCGGGCUUCGGCCGAUUUUUUUGCAAUUUCUUAUGUAAAUCCCUCUGAAUUCUUUAUAUAAAUCUCUAUAAAUUGGACAGUUUCUUUAGAUUUUUUGAUUAUUUGCUUACAAUUUCUUAUGUAAACUCCUAUAAACGUGUUGUAAUUUUUUUUGCCCAGAUUUUAUAAUAAUUCUAGCUCCGCCGCUGCUUAUAUCAAAGUAAAAUCUAUGUUGAAUAUUUUUCUAUAUAUCAUAUUCCAGACAUGUCAGAAUGAAUAUAUCUCUUUACACUAAUGUGUUUACAUGAUUUUUUUUAGUAAGUGUUAACAUGAUUGUUUGGUCAAUAAAUCUGGCAUGACAUAAACUUGAUAUGUGGACGACAUUAGAUAUUCUCACAGCUAUGGAGUUUACAACUAAUUUCGUGAUCAUGAAAACACAAUAUUAUUUUUUUGUAGGUUAUAAGAUACCAAAGGGAUGGAAUGUAAUUGUCUUGCUUCGUUAUCUUCAUACAGACCCAGAGAAUUUUAAGGAUCCCAUGUAUUUCAACCCUGAUAGAUGGAACGUACGUAUGAAAACUCUUUCUUAAUUUAGGUUUCAAUAAUUUUUAUUCAAGUUAAUUUUUUUAUUUUCUAAAUUGAUAAUUAUUUUAUCAAGACAAUAAGUGCCAAUUUUAUAGUAUAAAAAUUCUUAGGAGCCAGCAAUGUCUGGAACAUACCAAGUUUUUGGAGCUGGACAGAGAUUAUGCCCUGGAAACAUGCUUGCGAGAAUUCAACUUGCACUUCUACUUCAUCAUUUGUCCAUAGGAUACAAGUAAUGUUCUAUCAUAGUAUUUGGUAUAUACUAACAUGUUUUUGGUUUUUUAACUCUGAUAACAAGGUAGGAUGACUACAUUGUGGUUUUGUUAUUUUAAUUAGGUUUAAAUAUGUCUUUAAUCCUUGCACUUUCAUCAGAUUUUGGCAUUGGUCACUACACUUUUUUUUUGUUUGGAAUUGGUCCCUGCACUUUGUAAAAAUAUUAGUAUUGGUCCAUCUAUUAACUUUCUGUUAAAAAAAAAACACAAAACUAUUGGUAUUGGUCUCUGGACUUUGUAAAAAUAUUGGUAUUGGUCCAUGCACUUUGUAAAACUAUUGAUAUUGGUGCCACAUGGCGUGAAAUGAUGGGGCCACGUGGCACUCCGUUGGUUUUGUAUUAUUUUUUUUUAACAGAAAAAUUAACAGAGGGACCAAUACCAAUAUUUUUACAAAGUGCAGGGACCAAUGUCAAACAAAAAAAAGUGCAGGGAUCAAUGCCAAAAUCUGAUGAAAGUGCAGGGACCAAUGACACAUUUAAACCUUUUAAUUAAGGGUGGGGGUUUUGGUUUGGGAUGAAAACUGAACCAAACCGAACUAAUUUUUUCUAAAACAUAAUCUCGGCAUAAUUUUGAGCUACUAUCUAAUUUUUAUUAUAUAUAUUUAUCAAUUUAAUGCAGGUGGGAGCUUAUUAAUCCAAACGCAGAUAUAGUUUAUCUUUCACAUCCUGCUCCGGUUGAUGGGGUCGAGGUCAAGUUCAGCAGAUUGUGAAGAAAAAAUCAUGAAAAUUGGAUUGUGUUCAGUUACAUCUAAGCCAAUUUGAACCGUUUUCCAUUUCUUAGAUUGUAGACUAAGAAAAUGCUAGCUUUAAACCGUGACGUUUGUUAGUUGCUGAUAUUGCUCUGAACCUUUUUCCUAUGAAUAUGAACGUAGACAUUUGGAUUCCUGUGUAAAUUAGGAGUGACAAUUUGAUCCAUCAAGUUCAUAUUCAUCUGAUCCAUUAAGUAUAAAAUCCACUCAAUCCAUCCAUCAAACAAUAGAUAGAUUAUUGAGAUAAAUAAUGUUUCCCCCCGCCAUUUGAGCGACUUUUGAUUUAUCCCCUUAAAAAUAAAACUUGGAUAUUCCACCUCGCCAUUAGAAGAUUCUUUUGUUUUCACUCUUGAUGUUAUAUGACUAGGUAAGUGAGCUUAUGUAGCGCGCUAAACCAACAUUUUUAAUUAUUUCAUCUUUAUUUUAUUUACACAUGUCAUUUGUAUUAUUAAAUAAAUUUAUGUAAAAAUUAAAAGAAAACAAAUAUUUUUUUUUCCUUUUACUCGUCUUUAUCCUUCAAACAUUCAUCUUCAUCUUCAUCUUCAAACUUUCAAACCUUUAUAUUCAUCAUCAUCACCCCAUAUCUUCAUCAACCCCAGCCAAAAUAUUCAUCACUUCAACCCAAAUCUUCAUCUAAACCCUUCAUCAUCAACCCUUGAUCAUCAAAUUUAUCAACAAUUCAUGUGGUUCCUCAUAUUCAUCUUCUUCAAAAUUUAGAAUUCAAAUCCAAAAUCGAUAAUUCAUCAUCAAGUUAAAAAACACAAAUCCAAAACCAAAAUUCAGCGACCGUAAAAAACUGUGAUGCUUUGGAGGGAUAUGUAGAUGUAGACUAUGUAGGAAAUAUAGACACUAGAAAAUCUUUGUCAGGUUUUGUGUUUACAUUGUUUGGAACAGUGGUUACUUGGAAGACAAAUCAACAAUCAGAUAUAGAUUUUUCAACAACUCAACUAGAAUACAUAGCCCUAGUUUUCUGUCUUUUUGGUCGACAAGUUUUAAGGGUUCGUUGAACCCUAUAAAUAGUCAGCUCGGGUUUAGGGUUAGUAGAGGUGGAAAAACAAGGGUUUUGCAGCCAUUACUCAAACUAGGGUUUAGGUAGAACUCUUAGACUUUCAAAUGGUAAGAAAUUUAAGGUUGGGAGAAUCAUCCUUGGAUUCACCUUGUAGAAUACUAAACAAAUUAAGUCUCUUUGCCACAAGUAGAGAUUCGAGAAAAUAGUAGAAAUAUGUUUGAAGACUGAUUCUUGUAAUUCCUUUGAAAUAUGUGUAAAGUUGCUCAAUUGAUUAGUGGAACAGAGAGUUUCUCCCCCCUCCAGAGUAGUCAAUUAUUGGACCGAACUGGUUAAACAAUAUUGUGCGUUCCUUUGGUUCGUGAUUAUUACUGUGUUCCUUUGGUUUUGGUUUCCAUCAAUUUGUUCCACAUAUAAAGUAACAUAAGUCUUUGUUCCAUUCCGUUUUUCCACUCCACUCUAUUAUGUUUCAUUCCGCUAUGUUUCACUCCACUCCAUUGUGUUCCAUUCUACUCCAUUAUGUUCCUUCAAUCUAAACAGAGUUUAAAGUUUCGACCCAGUUUCAAUUAGUUAAGUUUUGUUGUUAAAUAUCUGUUUUUUAGGGUUGUCAGAUAUUGUUGUUUAUUAGUUUAUCUUGGAGAAUCCUUGAAUAAAAAGUUAGAAUCUUAAAUAAGAAGUUUAAAUAGAAUUGCAGUACAUUCAGAUCCUACAAAAUAAGUAAGAAAAAUAAAUUUUAUUCUGUUUUCGAUUUUUUUAUUCUAAGAAAACCCUAAAGGAUCGAAAACCACAAUAACGAUAUUUAUUCGUUCCAUCUGCUUUUGUGUCACAUGGAGCACAUUGGUUAGUAUUUGUUUGCUAGUAACUAGAAGUUGGAGCCUUGGAGGAAUAAACCAUGAAGAAUCUUUUUUAGACAAUGAAACAAAUACUAUUAAUAUAAUAUAAAAAUAUGGCAAAUUCUAUGGUACAUUCAAAAAUUUGAAAUUUGAGUGUAUCGGUACACCAAAUCAUCAAAUUUAUAUUGAAACGGGUUGUUUUUUUAGAAGAAAACGAAUUGUUUUCUAUCAUUUACAAUUACAAUAAUUAGAUCUUAGUUACUGAAAGUGUCAACGAAAUAAAAUUUUACAUUUUUUGAAUUUUUAUUACAUAUAACAAAGAAUAUUUAUUAUUUUUUAUGAGAAAAUGUUAAAAAUUUAAUAUGAUUCUUAUAAACAAUGAAAUGAUGUUUAUUCUUAUAAAAUGAUGUCUUAUAAAAUAUAAAUAUUGAUAAAUAACUCUUUAUUUCAUUAAAUAAUCGUUAAAUUGUAAAUAUUUAAAGUAAGAGUACCGGUACACCUCGUAGAAGUUUCCAAUAAAGAUACUCAUGACAUAUAUAACAGAUAGAAUUACAGAUCAGAUAUAGUUUACUAAUGGAUGCAAUUUAUGUAGGAUGGUUUGGUCUAGUGAUUGGGUUUGUGUUGUGGUGGUGGAAUGAGUAUUGGUAUAUUGUUCCUCUCAAGUUCAAAUGCUCAAAAUCUGCCACAAAGUUACCACUUGGCCAUAUGGGUCUCCCUUUCAUUGGAGAAAUGCUUAGCUUUCUUUGGUAUUUCAAAAUUGUUAGACGCCCAGAUGACUUCAUUAACGCUAAACGACGCAAGUAAGUUUUAGGUUUUAGCUCCUGUCAAGAGCCAUCUUCUAAUCUAAAAUAUUUUUCAUCUAUGUGUAUCAAAAUGUAUUUUAUUUAAAUUUAAAUUUGUGAUCAACCAAAUGUAUCUCUGAAACAGAUAUGGCGAUGGAGUAGGUAUGUUUAGAACACACCUCUUUGGAGUACCAUCUAUCAUAGUAUACACACCAGCGGUUAACAAAUUUGUGCUAUUUUCAGACGAUAAUUUCAAACAAGAAUGGUCUACUGUUGAACUUCUAGGUCGAACUUCAAUGAUGGCUGUCCAUGGGAUUGCCCAUAUGAGGGUUCGUAACUUUGUCCUCAAUGCCAUCAAUCGGCCAAAGUCCCUAAGCCGCAUCGCUACUUUUGUCCAAGCUCGCAUUGUUACUACUCUUCAAUCUUGGGCUCAAAUGGGCAAAAUCAAAGUUAAGUUGAAAUCCAAAAGGUAUUUAAUUGUUGAUAUACUCCCUUUGUUUAUUUUUUAUUUUUUUGGCGUUAAACCCCUAAUUUUCAGAAGAAAGGGGCUCUGGUAAUCUAGAGCCCAGCUGUGAGGUAAAAAUAGUAUGAUCAAAAAUUAUUUCACCUAAAAAUUGAACUCGGGUUCUCUCAAACGAUUCAUCCUUAGUGAUCAUUAACCAAUGAUAGUGUAGAAUCCCUGCAAUAUUUAAAAAUUGUUAGAUGUAUAUUAGUAUGUGGUGGUCACUAUGCCAACAGAAAAAAAAAAAAAAAUCAUAUACAUCUACCAAUUUUUAAAUCAGUUAAUUGAAGAAAAAAAUGAUAAAAAAACAUCAUGUAACUAAUAUAGUAUUAAUUUUAUCUCUACCAUGCAAUGAUAUAUUAACAUGGAAUUUCUCAUUAAGCACAUAUGGAUCUAAAUUAUUAAAUAUUAAAUGCAGCUCACAUUUGACAACAUUGGGAAAUUAUUCUUAAGCAAGGAACCAGGCCCUUUUUUAAAUUCCUUGGAUAAGCUCUAUGAAGGCAUGGUUCCAGGACUACGAGCCUAUCCACUUAAUAUUCCUGGUUUUGCAUACCACCAUGCUCUUAAGGUUCAUGUAUAAAUUAAAUUUCCAUUUCAAUUAUCAACAAGUUUGCUUCAGUUAUAAUUCCUUGACAUUCUUUAGUACUAAUUUUGGACUUUAUAAUAAACAUGUACACUCCUUAAAAUUUUAGUGUAGAAGAAAGCUUGAGGACAUUUUUUGGAUGGAGUUAGGUAAAAGAAAGAAUGAAAAUAAGGUGAAAAGUACAAGUGAUCUAAUGGAUGGGUUGAUGCAAAUUGAAGAUGGUGAAGGUGAUAAAUUGAGUGACAAAGAAGUUGUAGACAACAUUGUCUCUCUAGUGAUUGGUGGAUAUAUGUCUACUUCCCUUUCAUCCAUGUGGGCUAUUUACCUUCUUGCUAAGUAUCCAAUUGUUCUAAAAAAGCUUAGGGUAUGUACUAAAAAAUACUAUUUCUUCUCUAAUUUUAUUGGUAACUUUUAGAGUGCCUAAACUUAAA
This 14802-nucleotide long non-coding RNA is filed under the name Medicago truncatula (barrel medic). RNAcentral describes it as "long non-coding RNA (MTRU_LNC007457)". The record is from RNAcentral. Lineage: Eukaryota; Viridiplantae; Streptophyta; Magnoliopsida; Fabales; Fabaceae.